AAGGGGCCGGUGCGAUACCGGCGUGGGAUAAGUCGGCGAGUGCCCGCGCAUGCAAAACCCCGACAGCC
RNAcentral lists this small RNA (68 nucleotides) under Sphingomonas jeddahensis. RNAcentral's name for it is "Proteo-phage-1 RNA". It matches the Rfam family "Proteo-phage-1 RNA". The record is from Rfam by way of RNAcentral. Lineage: Bacteria; Pseudomonadati; Pseudomonadota; Alphaproteobacteria; Sphingomonadales; Sphingomonadaceae.